This 160-nucleotide small nuclear RNA is filed under the name Microcebus murinus (gray mouse lemur). RNAcentral describes it as "U1 spliceosomal RNA (ENSMICG00000031662.2)". It matches the Rfam family "U1 spliceosomal RNA". Rfam says of the family: U1 is a small nuclear RNA (snRNA) component of the spliceosome (involved in pre-mRNA splicing). The record is from Rfam by way of RNAcentral. Lineage: Eukaryota; Metazoa; Chordata; Mammalia; Primates; Cheirogaleidae.
AUACUUACCUGAUGGGGGAGAUACCAUGAUUGUGAAGGUGGUUUUCCUAAGGCAAGGCUUGUCCAUUGUGCUUUGGAUGUGCUGACUCAUGUGAUGUCAUGUGAUGAAACUUGAUUAUGGAAUUUUUGCUAAUUGGAGACUGUAUUCAUGCUCUCCCCUG